This 67-nucleotide transfer RNA is filed under the name Diaphanoeca grandis. Lineage: Eukaryota; Choanoflagellata; Acanthoecida; Stephanoecidae. The record is from RNAcentral.
CGGCUCUCGCAGAGCAGUGGCCGCACAGCGUUAAAAUCCCGCUCGACAACCUUUACGGCAUGCACCU